This 482-nucleotide ribosomal RNA is filed under the name uncultured bacterium. Its description in RNAcentral is "partial 16S ribosomal RNA". It matches the Rfam family "Bacterial small subunit ribosomal RNA", at positions 28 to 507 of the family's 1533-position model. The record is from RNAcentral.
GACGAACGCUGGCGGCGUGCCUAACACAUGCAAGUCGAACGGAACUGUCUUGACAGAUUUCUUCGGAAUGCAUUAGAUUUAGUUUAGUGGCGGACGGGUGAGUAACGCGUGAGUAACCUGCCUUCAAGAGGGGAAUAACAUUCUGAAAAGAAUGCUAAUACCGCAUGACAUAUCGGAACCACAUGGUUUUGAUAUCAAAGAUUUUAUCGCUUGAAGAUGGACUCGCGUCCGUUUAGUUAGUUGGUGAGGUAACGGCUCACCAAGACCGCGAUCGGUAGCCUGACUGGGGGGUUGGACGGCCACAUUGGGACUGGGGCACGGCCCAGACUCCUACGGGAGGGAGCAGUGGGGGAUAAUGCGCAAUGGGGGCAACCCUGACGCAGCAACGGCGCGGGAAGGAUGAAAGUUUUCGGGUUGUAAACUUCUUUUAUUAAGGGCGAAAAAUGACGGUACUUAAUGAAUAAGCUCCGGCUAACUACGUG